UACGUAGGCAGCGAGCGUUGUUCGGAGUUACUGGGCGUAAAGAGUGCGUAGGCGGUUUUCUAAGUUUGGUGUGAAAUCUCCCGGCUUAACUGGGAGGGUGCGCCGAAGACUGGAAGGCUUGAGUAUGGGAGAGGUAAGCGGAAUUCCUGGUGUAGCGGUGAAAUGCGUAGAUAUCGAGAGGAACACCUGCGGCGAAGGCGGGUAGCUGGGCCGACACUGACGCUGAGGCGCGAAAGCCAGGGGAGCAAACGGG
RNAcentral lists this ribosomal RNA (253 nucleotides) under uncultured bacterium. Its description in RNAcentral is "partial 16S ribosomal RNA". It matches the Rfam family "Bacterial small subunit ribosomal RNA", at positions 524 to 776 of the family's 1533-position model. The record is from RNAcentral.